RNAcentral lists this ribosomal RNA (838 nucleotides) under Cryptosporidium andersoni. RNAcentral's name for it is "bacterial SSU rRNA". It matches the Rfam family "Eukaryotic small subunit ribosomal RNA", at positions 187 to 1077 of the family's 1831-position model. Lineage: Eukaryota; Apicomplexa; Conoidasida; Eucoccidiorida; Cryptosporidiidae. The record is from RNAcentral.
UUUUCUGGAAAGGGGUUGAUUAAUAAGAAACAGAAUCCAUGAGCUUGGUGAUUCAUAAUAACUUUACGGAUCGCAUCUCUGAUGCGACAUAUCAUUCAAGUUUCUGACCUAUCAGCUUUAGACGGUAGGGUAUUGGCCUACCGUGGCUAUGACGGGUAACGGGGAAUUAGGGUUCGAUUCCGGAGAGGGAGCCUGAGAAACGGCUACCACAUCUAAGGAAGGCAGCAGGCGCGCAAAUUACCCAAUCCUGACACAGGGAGGUAGUGACAAGAAAUAACAAUACAGGGCCUAACGGUCUUGUAAUUGGAAUGAGUGAAGUAUAAACCCCUUUACGAGUAUCAAUUGGAGGGCAAGUCUGGUGCCAGCAGCCGCGGUAAUUCCAGCUCCAAUAGCGUAUAUUAAAGUUGUUGCAGUUAAAAAGCUCGUAGUUGGAUUUCUGUUGUAUAAUUUAUAAUAUUACCAAGGUAAUUAUUAUAUUAUCAACAUCCUUCCUAUUAUAUUCUAAAUAUAUAGGAAAUUUUACUUUGAGAAAAUUAGAGUGCUUAAAGCAGGCAACUGCCUUGAAUACUCCAGCAUGGAAUAAUAAGUAAGGACUUUUGUCUUUCUUAUUGGUUCUAGGACAAAAAAUGGUUAAUAGGGACAGUUGGGGGCAUUCGUAUUUAACAGCCAGAGGUGAAAUUCUUAGAUUUGUUAAAGACGAACUACUGCGAAAGCAUUUGCCAAGGAUGUUUUCAUUAAUCAAGAACGAAAGUUAGGGGAUCGAAGACGAUCAGAUACCGUCGUAGUCUUAACCAUAAACUAUGCCGACUAGAGAUGGAGGGGUUACUUUUUCCUAUCG